GUUUUAUUCUCUCUGUUUGUAUGUGUGUUUACAAUAUUAGUUCAUUUUUUCAUGAAAAAAAAACAUUAAAUUGAACAACAUAAUUGUUGAUGAAGGAUUAAUCAUCUUAUUUGUACCUGUGCGGGAAAUAGAAAUACAUAUCUGCAUUGUGAUACGGGACAUUGGCAUAAGGGAAAUCAUUAGCCCGAAGAUUCUGACAGCUCGAAAGAGGUUAUGUUUGAUGAAAGAUUGUUAAAAGGAACAUUUCUGCAAUAAUCUUCGAUCAAAAGCAUUGACAAUCACUGCAAACCCUGUGAGAAGGCUGUGUGUAACUGACUGAAUCAUUCAUCGAUUUCUGAUGCGGCAGACUGUCCCAGCAUGACCAUUAGUCUGAUGCAAUAGUGGAUUAUCGAGCGUCAGCUCUCACAGAAGAACCCAUAGUCAUAACCCCUCGUCUUAUUACGUUUUCAAGUUGAAGAAGAGUAUCGAGGCACUGAGAUACUUUAUUAUGUACUCAAAUGUAUCUGUGGUAGGUGUUCGAACAUUCCCCAAUCGAGAAUCAAUGUCUCUCGGAGUGUCAAAGUAUAAACGACGUAUCAGUGCUCUCCCCAAGAAGAAUUUCAAUGCUGUCGCAGAAAGAAAUUGAGAAUUGCCUCACAACAGUCUGAAGACAC
This is a long non-coding RNA of Diachasma alloeum, 653 nucleotides long. RefSeq lists it as uncharacterized. The record is from RefSeq and is a predicted model, not a curated record. The transcript is spliced from 2 exons. NCBI's taxonomy places the organism in Eukaryota, Metazoa, Arthropoda, Insecta, Hymenoptera, Braconidae.